Molecule: ribosomal RNA, 1252 nt
Filed under: uncultured bacterium
Lineage: Bacteria
Description: bacterial SSU rRNA
Rfam family: Bacterial small subunit ribosomal RNA
Source: RNAcentral
GAAAGUUCGACGGCAGUGAUUAGAGUUUGAUCCUGGCUCAGGAUAAACGCUGGCGGCGCACAUAAGACAUGCAAGUCGAACGGACUUAAUUCGUUAGUUUACUAAUGGAAGCGGUUAGUGGCGGACUGGUGAGUAACGCGUAAGCAACCUGCCUAUUAGUAGGGAAUAACAGUGAGAAAUCAUUGCUAAUACCGUAUAAGCUGGAAACAUCGCAUGAUGUAGUCAGAAAAGGAGCAAUUCGCUAAUAGAUGGGCUUGCGUCUGAUUAGUUAGUUGGUGGGGUAACGGCCUACCAAGACGAUGAUCAGUAGCCGGACUGAGAGGUUAAACGGCCACAUUGGGACUGAGAUACGGCCCAGACUCCUACGGGAGGCAGCAGUCGGGAAUAUUGCGCAAUGGAGGAAACUCUGACGCAGUGACGCCGCGUGCAGGAAGAAGGUUUUCGGAUUGUAAACUGCUUUAGACAGGGACGAAACAAAUGACGGUACCUGUAGAAUAAGCUCCGGCUAACUACGUGCCAGCAGCCGCGGUAAUACGUAGGGAGCAAGCGUUAUCCGGAUUUAUUGGGUGUAAAGGGUGCGUAGACGGAUAAACAAGUUAGUUGUGAAAUACCUCGGCUUAACUGAGGAACUGCAACUAAAACUAUAUAUCUUGAGUACUGGAGGGGAAAGCGGAAUUCCUAGUGUAGCGGUGAAAUGCGUAGAUAUUAGGAAGAACACCGGUGGCGAAGGCGGCUUUCUGGACAGCAACUGACGUUGAGGCACGAAAGUGUGGGGAGCAAACAGGAUUAGAUACCCUGGUAGUCCACACCGUAAACGAUGGAUACUAGGUGUUGGCUGUGAUGAGCAGUCAGUGCCGUCGCAAACGCAGUAAGUAUCCCACCUGGGGAGUACGACCGCAAGGUUGAAACUCAAAGGAUUGACGGGGGCCCGCACAGCAGUGGAGUAUGUGGUUUAAUUCGACGCACGCGAAGAACUUACAAGCUUGACAUAUACAGGAUAUAUAGAAAUAUAAUAGCUCUCGAGCUGUAUACAGUGGUGCAUGGUGUCGUCAGCUCUGUCUGAGAUGUAGUAAGUCUGCACGAGCGCAUCCUAUUCAGUGCAGCACGUAUGGUGGAACUCUGGAAGACUGCGUAUAAUCGAGAGAGGUGGGGGUGAGUCAAUAUCAUGGCUUAGUCUGGGCACACGGUCUCAAUGCGUCAAGAGACAGAGGAGCAAUCAAACGACUCAUCGACUGAGGCGAAAUGACCUCCA